CGCGAUGCCGCCCGCGGAGUGGCCCCGGCCUCCGCUCUCCCCGGCACCUGUCCUGGGAAGGCACCAACGUGUAGCGCGCCUGGACCCUCUCGUGAAGUCUCUCAUAGAGUGGGGUGAAAGUCUGGGGAGGAUUCCCUGGCAAAAACAGAAUUUCUCGUUGCCUUCGUCGGCAUCCUUUCCAUAAUGUCUCGAUUUCCCCCGUGCACCCCGGAUCCGGCUGCAGCACCGGAGCUUGAAGAGCCCCUUAAGGCUCCGCUGAGCGAACAACCCCAAGCUCUGCUGGAUGCCCAGGGAAUGGGUUUUACUUAGUAGGGAUUAUUUUGAACCGCUACCAGCAAUUCACUCGACAUCUGACACCGGCAGCCCAACCUGCGGAAGGCGAAACAGAACCUCACUGGUCCUGAGUGGAGAUCCCUCUCUCCUCUGGGAAUUCCUCGGACCCUUCUCUGGAGACAUCUCUUCUCUC
This 466-nucleotide long non-coding RNA is filed under the name Ictidomys tridecemlineatus (thirteen-lined ground squirrel). RNAcentral describes it as "lncRNA (ENSSTOG00000032919.1)". Lineage: Eukaryota; Metazoa; Chordata; Mammalia; Rodentia; Sciuridae. The record is from RNAcentral.